GGUUACACCAAGUGAUUAAGUUAUAUUUUUAGGUAAAAAGACAGUUAGAUUUAUAAAAAUUUUAGUUUAUUAAACAUCUAUAAAAAAGUAAAAUUUGUAUAUAGAUAGCUAAUCUAAAAAUAACUAUCAAUAUUGAAGCUGUGAUAAUCUUGAGGGAAACUGGGAUUAGAUACCCCAUUAUUCUUGAUUGUAAAUAUAAUUAAAUUUACCAGAGUACUAUGAAUAGUUAAAAAUUUAAAACUCAAAGGGCUUGGCGGUGUUUUAGACCUAUCAGGGGAACCUGUCUCGUAAUCGACAAUCCGCGCAAUAUCUAACCUUACUUUGUCAUCAGUUUGUAUACCGUCGUCGUCAGGUAACUUUUAAAAACAUAGAAGUUAGCAAUUAAAAUUCUUGAAUUAAGACGUCAGAUCAAGGUGCAGCCUAUAGUAAGGAGAGGAUGGGUUACAGUUAUAAAAAUCAUAAUUACGGAAAUUUAAAUGGAACUUAUUUUGAAGGAGGACUUGAAAGUAAACUAAAAUACACAAAUAGUUUGAAUGAGGCUCUG
RNAcentral lists this ribosomal RNA (544 nucleotides) under Nassarius sp. 64 LAG-2016. RNAcentral describes it as "partial 12S ribosomal RNA". Lineage: Eukaryota; Metazoa; Mollusca; Gastropoda; Neogastropoda; Nassariidae. The record is from RNAcentral.